RNAcentral lists this ribosomal RNA (399 nucleotides) under uncultured bacterium. RNAcentral's name for it is "partial 16S ribosomal RNA". It matches the Rfam family "Bacterial small subunit ribosomal RNA", at positions 338 to 734 of the family's 1533-position model. The record is from RNAcentral.
CCUACGGGUGGCUGCAGUGAGGAAUAUUGGUCAAUGGGCGUAAGCCUGAACCAGCCAAGUCGCGUGACGGAUGACUGCUCUAUGGAUUGUAAACCUCUUUUAUAAAGGAAUAAAGUGCGGGACGUGUCCCUUUUUGUAUGUACUUUAUGAAUAAGGAUCGGCUAACUCCGUGCCAGCAGCCGCGGUAAUACGGAGGAUCCGAGCGUUAUCCGGAUUUAUUGGGUUUAAAGGGUGCGUAGGCGGACUUUUAAGUCAGUUGUGAAAGUGUGUGGCUCAACCAUAAAAUUGCAAUUGAAACUGGGAGGCUUGAGUAUAUUUGAGGCAGGCGGAAUGCGUGGUGUAGCGGUGAAAUGCUUAGAUAUCACGAAGAACCCCGAUUGCGAAGGCAGCCUGCUAAGC